Long non-coding RNA from Podarcis raffonei (Aeolian wall lizard), 1133 nucleotides. RefSeq lists it as uncharacterized. The transcript is spliced from 4 exons. The record is from RefSeq and is a predicted model, not a curated record. Lineage: Eukaryota; Metazoa; Chordata; Lepidosauria; Squamata; Lacertidae.
CGCUAAAAUCUGGAUCCUCGUCAUUACUUCUGUUCCUAAGGUAAUGUAUUUAAAACCUGGUGUAGCAAACUGCUUCCUUUGCCUGUAACCUCUCACUUGGUUACCUUCAACCGCAAUCGUAGCUUCUAUUAAAAAAGACUUUUGAAUUAUCAGAGGUGGCGAUAGGCACUAAUAACUAACAAGUAAUCUCUAAAUGCUCUAUUGUAAUUAUAGCAGCAAUACAGUUGUGUGUCUUCUGGCUGAAGGUCAAGUAGGUGAGUAUCUUGUGCUUGGCUGAGGGGAAAAUCUCUGUUGUGUUCUGCCUGCAACUCUUUGUACAAAGAUUCUUUCAGGUCGCAGUGAGGGGGACCAUUCAAGCACCCUGAGCCUGUUGGAGAAAAGAAGAGCUGCAAACUCGAAAGCCGAUUGCAGUCGCUCUCCGUACUUCUACCUGGAGGGACUUCUCUUGUCGGGACACCACUGCAGGGGAGGCCCCUUCCUGUGCCAUCACCACACAAUAAGGUACAUCUUUUGGUGGGACAGCCAGCCUUGUUUUGUUCCAGCUCUUAUUUUUACAGACCUCACAGUGCUACCUGUGCCGGAAGCAGAUCUGCUCCAUUGACAAGUAAGAGGCUGAGUCAGAGCUCUUGAUCCAUCAAGUGAACAUCUGCAGUGUAGGAUUGAGAGACACCUGUGUCUUGACUGCCUGCUUUAGGUAACCGGCUGUUUUUGCUCCUGUGUCUGGAGGGGAGGGCUGCUCAAGACCCAAGUCUCUUCCAGGUGCAUCUCAGUGACACAAGAAAUAGAAUUUUGCAAGCCUUCAGGAAACUUAACUGCAAGUGAACUUCACAUUCCACAAUUCAGUGAUCUUUUUCAGUACAAUCCUUUUGUGCUGGCUUCUCCAUUUCCCCCCGCUUGAUCUCGUCACAGUUCUGUCCCAGAGCCCACCACACUCAGGUGAAGCCAGCUCUACCUGCAGAAGUCAGACCAGCAGAAGGAACUUCCAGGCCCAUGAAUUCACACUUUGGAGGGACAAACAAAAAGAACUAAAUGAAGCAAAGUGCUCCUCUGAUGCAUCACUGGUGUGUGUCUAAGACAAGGUGGAUUACAUGGAUGCUUCCCAUCCUAGCAUUCCUUGCUAUAGGGAACAAAAU